Molecule: ribosomal RNA, 912 nt
Filed under: Heleomyzidae sp. Hele_H1
Lineage: Eukaryota; Metazoa; Arthropoda; Insecta; Diptera; Heleomyzidae
Description: SSU rRNA
Rfam family: Eukaryotic small subunit ribosomal RNA
Source: RNAcentral
AGUUAUAUGCUGUCUCAAAGAUUAAGCCAUGCAUGUCUAAGUACACACGAAUUAAAAGUGAAACCGCAAAAGGCUCAUUAUAUCAGUUAUGGUUCCUUAGAUCGUUAACAGUUACUUGGAUAACUGUGGUAAUUCUAGAGCUAAUACAUGCAAUAUAAACACGGACCUUUUGGAACGUGUGCUUUUAUUAGACUAAAACCAAGCGAUCGCAAGAUCGUUAUAUUGGUUGAACUCUAGAUAACAUGCAGAUCGUAUGGUCUUGUACCGACGACAGAUCUUUCAAAUGUCUGCCCUAUCAACUUUUGAUGGUAGUAUCUAGGACUACCAUGGUUGCAACGGGUAACGGGGAAUCAGGGUUCGAUUCCGGAGAGGGAGCCUGAGAAACGGCUACCACAUCUAAGGAAGGCAGCAGGCGCGUAAAUUACCCACUCCCAGCUCGGGGAGGUAGUGACGAAAAAUAACAAUACAGGACUCAUAUCCGAGGCCCUGUAAUUGGAAUGAGUACACUUUAAAUCCUUUAACAAGGACCUAUUGGAGGGCAAGUCUGGUGCCAGCAGCCGCGGUAAUUCCAGCUCCAAUAGCGUAUAUUAAAGUUGUUGCGGUUAAAACGUUCGUAGUUGAAUUUGUGCUUCAUACGGGUAGUACAAACUGUAAUUGUGGUAUGUACAUUGCCUUAUGUAUGUAAGCGUAUUACCGGUGGAGUUCUUAUAUGUAAUUAAUACUUGUAUUUUUUAUGUAUUCCUCCUAUUUAAACCUGCUUCAGUGCUCUUCAUCGAGUGUUGUUGUGGGCCGGUACAAUUACUUUGAACAAAUUAGAGUGCUUAAAGCAGGCUCCAAAUGCCUGAAUAUUUUGUGCAUGGAAUAAUGAAAUAAGACCUCUGUUCUACUUUCAUUGGUUUUUAGAACAAGAGG